GACGUAGGGCGCGAGCGUUGUCCGGAUUUAUUGGGCGUAAAGGGCGCGUAGGCGGUGCGGUAAGUCACCUGUGAAAUCUCCUGGCUCAACUGGGAGCUUGCAGGCGAAACUGCCGUGCUGGAGUGUGGGAGAGGUGCGUGGAAUUCCUGGUGUAGCGGUGAAAUGCGUAGAUAUCGGAAGGAACACCUGUGGCGAAAGCGGCUCACUGGACCAUUACUGACGCUGAGGCGCGAAAGCUAGGGGAGCAAACAGGG
Molecule: ribosomal RNA, 254 nt
Filed under: uncultured bacterium
Lineage: Bacteria
Description: partial 16S ribosomal RNA
Rfam family: Bacterial small subunit ribosomal RNA
Source: RNAcentral